This 481-nucleotide ribosomal RNA is filed under the name uncultured bacterium. Its description in RNAcentral is "partial 16S ribosomal RNA". It matches the Rfam family "Bacterial small subunit ribosomal RNA", at positions 28 to 507 of the family's 1533-position model. The record is from RNAcentral.
GACGAACGUUGGCGGCGUGCUUAAUACAUGCAAGUCAACUGAAGCAGUGGUAGCAAUAUCGCUGUGGAGGUGGCGCACGGGUGAGUAACACGUAGGUAAUCUGCCUUCAGGUCUGGCAUAACUCCGGGAAACCGGGGCUAAUAGCAGAUGAUGCAGCGGCUCGACAUCGAGACAGUUGUUAAAGCUAUGGCGCCUGAAGAUGAGCCUGCGUCUGAUUAGCUAGUUGGCGGGGUAACGGCCCACCAAGGCAACGAUCAGUAGCUGGUCUGAGAGGAUGAUCAGCCACACUGGAACUGAGACACGGUCCAGACUCCCACGGGAGGCAGCAGUAAGGAAUAUUGCUCAAUGGGAGAAAUCCUGAAGCAGCAACGCCGCGUGAGGGACGAAGGGCUUUUGCUUGUAAACCUCUGUAGUGAGAGAAAAAAAUCCCAAUCUUUGGGACAUGAUGGUAUCUCAAAAGUAAGCCCCGGCUAACUACGUG